UACGUAGGGGGCAAGCGUUGUCCGGAAUCAUUGGGCGUAAAGAGCGUGUAGGCGGCUUGGUAAGUCCGCUGUGAAAGUCCAGGGCUCAACCCUGGAAUGCCGGUGGAAACUGUCAAGCUUGAGUCCGGAAGAGGCGAGUGGAAUUCCUGGUGUAGCGGUGAAAUGCGCAGAUAUCAGGAGGAACACCGGUGGCGAAGGCGGGUCUCUGGGCCGGAACUGACGCUGAGGAGCGAAAGCGUGGGGAGCGAACAGG
Molecule: ribosomal RNA, 253 nt
Filed under: uncultured bacterium
Lineage: Bacteria
Description: partial 16S ribosomal RNA
Rfam family: Bacterial small subunit ribosomal RNA
Source: RNAcentral